CCGUGACCAAAAAGAAACUCAAAUGUCUCAGAAUAACCUAAACACUCACAAAACAUAAACCAAAACACAAACCAAACCAUGGCUAGCCAAAUUCAGCUCUGGAAGAGAUUCAAGAGUGUCUGUAAGUUAUUGACACUCUCCAUUCGGAGUUAAGCCGUUCCUAUGGCGAAAUCGUGGCCAUCCACAGUGAAAAUAUGGUUAUUUCAACUUUCCUUAACAACAUGAUGGAGGAGAGGAACGAGAAGCUUAUAGAGGAAAACAAGAAGCCCGAGGAGGGAAAGAAGAAGCUAAGAAGAAGCUCGAAGAAAACAAGAAGCCCGAGAAGAAAAAGAAGAAGCUCGAAGAGGAAAAGAAGAAGCUAAGAAGAAGCUCGAAGAAAACAAGAAGCCCGAGAAGGAAAAGAAGAAGCUCGAAGAGGAAAAGAAGAACGAGAAAGGUGAAAAAGAAAACAUGAAGAAAUUAUUUGACGAAGAGAAGAAAAGUUAGAGGAGCUGAAGGAGAAAGUGGUUUAUAUGGAGGCAGACAAACGGAAGAAUGGAAGAAUGUAUGGACGGAGAAUAGGUUGUUAAUUAGCUGUAAUGUUUUGGAGACGAGAAAUGGUUCCCGUGUGUUUCAGAGUAACCAAGCAAAAUACUCUGUUAAUCUUUGCAUGUGUGUUUCAGAGUAACCAAGCAAAAUACUCUGUUAAUUUUUGAAUGUGUUUAGACUUAGCAAGCAAUGAAAAUAAACACAUUAUGAC
This 739-nucleotide small RNA is filed under the name Vigna angularis var. angularis. Its description in RNAcentral is "Non-protein coding transcript". The record is from RNAcentral. Lineage: Eukaryota; Viridiplantae; Streptophyta; Magnoliopsida; Fabales; Fabaceae.